This 726-nucleotide ribosomal RNA is filed under the name Lutibacter sp. Its description in RNAcentral is "bacterial SSU rRNA". It matches the Rfam family "Bacterial small subunit ribosomal RNA", at positions 28 to 745 of the family's 1533-position model. The record is from RNAcentral. Lineage: Bacteria; Pseudomonadati; Bacteroidota; Flavobacteriia; Flavobacteriales; Flavobacteriaceae.
GAUGAACGCUAGCGGCAGGCUUAACACAUGCAAGUCGAGGGGUAACAGGGAAGAGCUUGCUUUUCUGCUGACGACCGGCGCACGGGUGCGUAACGCGUAUAGAACCUACCUUUUACAGGGGAAUAGCCCAGAGAAAUUUGGAUUAAUGCCCCAUAGUAUUAUUGAAUGGCAUCAUUUAAUAAUUAAACAUUUAUGGGUAAAAGAUGGCUAUGCGUUCUAUUAGCUAGAUGGUAAGGUAACGGCUUACCAUGGCAACGAUAGAUAGGGGUCCUGAGAGGGAGAUCCCCCACACUGGUACUGAGACACGGACCAGACUCCUACGGGAGGCAGCAGUGAGGAAUAUUGGACAAUGGAGGCAACUCUGAUCCAGCCAUGCCGCGUGCAGGAAGACGGUCCUAUGGAUUGUAAACUGCUUUUAUAUAGGAAGAAACCUUUCCACGUGUGGAAAGCUGACGGUACUAUAAGAAUAAGCACCGGCUAACUCCGUGCCAGCAGCCGCGGUAAUACGGAGGGUGCAAGCGUUAUCCGGAAUCAUUGGGUUUAAAGGGUCCGUAGGCGGACUAAUAAGUCAGGGGUGAAAUCCAACAGCUUAACUGUUGAACUGCCUUUGAUACUGUUAGUCUUGAGUUAUAUGGAAGUAGAUAGAAUAUGUAGUGUAGCGGUGAAAUGCUUAGAGAUUACAUAGAAUACCGAUUGCGAAGGCAGUCUACUACGUAUAUACUGACG